This 465-nucleotide ribosomal RNA is filed under the name Vreelandella stevensii. Its description in RNAcentral is "partial 16S ribosomal RNA". It matches the Rfam family "Bacterial small subunit ribosomal RNA", at positions 338 to 795 of the family's 1533-position model. Lineage: Bacteria; Pseudomonadati; Pseudomonadota; Gammaproteobacteria; Oceanospirillales; Halomonadaceae. The record is from RNAcentral.
CCUACGGGGGGCAGCAGUGGGGAAUAUUGGACAAUGGGGGGAACCCUGAUCCAGCCAUGCCGCGUGUGUGAAGAAGGCCCUCGGGUUGUAAAGCACUUUCAGUGAGGAAGAACGCCUGGUGGUUAAUACCCAUCAGGAAAGACAUCACUCACAGAAGAAGCACCGGCUAACUCCGUGCCAGCAGCCGCGGUAAUACGGAGGGUGCGAGCGUUAAUCGGAAUUACUGGGCGUAAAGCGCGCGUAGGUGGCUUGAUAAGCCGGUUGUGAAAGCCCCGGGCUCAACCUGGGAACGGCAUCCGGAACUGUCAAGCUAGAGUGCAGAAGAGGAAGGUAGAAUUCCCGGUGUAGCGGUGAAAUGCGUAGAGAUCGGGAGGAAUACCAGUGGCGAAGGCGGCCUUCUGGACUGACACUGACACUGAGGUGCGAAAGCGUGGGUAGCAAACAGGAUUAGAUACCCGAGUAGUC